UGGGGAAUAUUGCACAAUGGAGGGAACUCUGAUGCAGCAACGCCGCGUGCGGGAUGACGGCCUUCGGGUUGUAAACCGCUUUCAGCCAUGACGAAGCUUUUGUGAUGGUAGUGGUAGAAGAAGCACCGGCUAACUACGUGCCAGCAGCCGCAGUGAUACGUAGGGUGCGAUCGUUGUCCGGAAUUAUUGGGCGUAAAGAGCUUGUAGGCGGUUUGUCGCGUCGAUAGGGUAAACACGCAGCUUAACUGUGUGCCUGCUGUCGAUACGGGCUGACUAGAGGAGGGUAGGGGAGAGUGGAAUUCCCGGUGGAGCGGUGGAAUGCGCAGAUUACGGGAGGGACACCAGUGGCGAAGGCGGUUCUCUGGACCUUUCCUGACGCUGAGAGGCGAAAGCGUGGGUAGCAAACAGG
Molecule: ribosomal RNA, 409 nt
Filed under: Fusobacteriota bacterium
Lineage: Bacteria; Fusobacteriati; Fusobacteriota
Description: Fusobacteria bacterium partial 16S ribosomal RNA
Rfam family: Bacterial small subunit ribosomal RNA
Source: RNAcentral